GAAAUGCGAUAAGUAAUGUGAAUUGCAGAAUUCAGUGAAUCAUCGAAUCUUUGAACGCACAUUGCGCCCGCCAGUAUUCUGGCGGGCAUGCCUGUUCGAGCGUCAUUUCAACCCUCAAGCCCGGCUUGGUGUUGGGGCCCUACGGCUGCCGUAGGCCCUGAAAGGAAGUGGCGGGCUCGCUGCAACUCCGAGCGUAGUAACUCACAUUCUCGCUAGGGAGGCGCGGCGCGCUCCGGCCGUUAAAGAACCAUCUUUAACCAAGGUUGACCUCGGAUCAGGUAGGAAUACCCGCUGAACUUAA
RNAcentral lists this unclassified non-coding RNA (301 nucleotides) under uncultured Coniochaetales. RNAcentral describes it as "sequence contains ITS1". The stretch from base 1 to 105 matches the Rfam family "5.8S ribosomal RNA", at positions 50 to 154 of the family's 154-position model. The record is from RNAcentral. Lineage: Eukaryota; Fungi; Ascomycota; Sordariomycetes; Coniochaetales.